RNAcentral lists this ribosomal RNA (254 nucleotides) under uncultured bacterium. RNAcentral's name for it is "partial 16S ribosomal RNA". It matches the Rfam family "Bacterial small subunit ribosomal RNA", at positions 524 to 776 of the family's 1533-position model. The record is from RNAcentral.
UACGUAGGGUGCAAGCGUUAAUCGGAAUUACUGGGCGUAAAGCGUACGCAGGCGGUGAUGUAAGACAGUUGUGAAAUCCCCGGGCUCAACCUGGGAACUGCAUCUGUGACUGCAUCGCUGGAGUACGGUAGAGGGGGAUGGAAUUCCGCGUGUAGCAGUGAAAUGCGUAGAUAUGCGGAGGAACACCGAUGGCGAAGGGCAAUCCCCUGGACCUGUACUGACGCUCAUGCACGAAAGCGUGGGGAGCAAACAGG